RNAcentral lists this ribosomal RNA (497 nucleotides) under uncultured bacterium. RNAcentral's name for it is "partial 16S ribosomal RNA". It matches the Rfam family "Bacterial small subunit ribosomal RNA", at positions 28 to 507 of the family's 1533-position model. The record is from RNAcentral.
GAUGAACGCUGGCGGCGUGCCUAAUACAUGCAAGUCGAGCGAACAGACGAGGAGCUUUCUCCUCUGACGUUAGCGGCGCACGGGUGAGUAACACGUGGAUAACCUACCUAUGAGACUGGGAUAACUUCGGGAAACCGGAGCUAAUACCGGCUAAUAUCUUGAACCGCAUGGUUCAAUAGUGAAAGACGGCUUUGCUGUCACUUAUAGAUUGAUCCGCGGCGCAUUAGCUAGUUGGUAGGGUAACGGCUUACCAAGGCGACGAUGCGUAGCCGACCUGAGAGGGUGAUCGGCCACACUGGAACUGAGACACGGUCCAGACUCCUACGGGAGGCAGCAGUAGGGAAUAUUGGGCAAUGGGCGAAAGCCUGACGGAGCAACACCGCGUGAGUGAAGAAGGUCUUCGGGUCGUAAAGCUCUGUUAUUAGGGAAGAAAAAAUGUGUAAGAAACUCUGCGGGUGUUGACGGUACCUAAACAGAAAGCAACGGCUAACUUCGUG